GGGAGAGCAGCUCCUUGCCAGAGAGGGACGUCUGAAAAAGGGGAAAAGGCCAUGGGCAGCACCAGAUUUUAUAAGCAGGCUAGAGGAGGUGUCUGAUUUGGUAGGGCCCACAGGUGUGACGUUUAUAUAGCUGGGGCUGGUGGUGGGGUCGGGGGGAGGGAAGACUGGCUGCCCCAUCUUAAUCUUAUUAUGCAAAUGAACUCGCCCGUUGACUGGCGCCAUCUUGUCUGCUCCUGACUCUACACGUAGCUGAUAAUGAGAAGGGAAGAUGGGGCUCCCGUUUUGAACAUGAUUGGCACAACUGCCAGCAUCUAUGUCUGCAGCUCGAUUUUAUAGGCUGCUCAUUGUUAGAAAGGAAAAUGAUUUGGAGCUACUUUUCAUUAAAAGGAAAACCUUACUGAGGACUGCUGUACCCUCACUAUCUGCUUAAGUAAUUUCUUCUUUUUUUUUUUUUUUUUGAGACGGAGUCUCCAUGUUAGAGUGCGGUAGCACGAUCUCGGCUCACUGCAACCUCUGCCUCCCGGAUUCAAGAGAUUCUCCUGCCUCAGCCUCCGGAGUAGCUGGGACUACAGGCGCGUACCAACACACCCAGCUAAUUUUUGUAUUUUUAGUAGAGAUGGUGUUCCACCACGCUGGCCAGGAUGGUCUUGAUCCUUGACCUCCUGAUCUGCCUGCCUCGGCAUCUCAAAGUGCUGGGAUUACAGGCGUGAGCCACUGCACCCGGCCAGUAAUUUCUUCUUAACUCCUGUAUCAACAUAUGAUAAAAUAGAGCAUUUUAAAAACAAGUUUUUGAAAAGAUUAAGAAUUUAUAAAAAGCUCUAAGAAGGAAACUUCAAAUACGGAUCUCAAUCACAAGCAAGGUCUUUAGAAAAUAACUUAACAUUUUCAAUCAAUUGCCAUUCAGAACAUCUUUGGGUCCACCUAUGGCCUAGAAGCACCUGCCUCCUUUGAGUUGUCCUGCCUUUCUGAACCAAACAAAUGUAUACCUCACAUAUACUGAUUGAUGUCUUAUGUCUCCCUAAAAAAUGUAUAAAACCAGGCUGUAAC
RNAcentral lists this long non-coding RNA (1047 nucleotides) under Homo sapiens (human). RNAcentral describes it as "HSALNT0128310". The record is from RNAcentral. Lineage: Eukaryota; Metazoa; Chordata; Mammalia; Primates; Hominidae.